RNAcentral lists this long non-coding RNA (1119 nucleotides) under Oryzias sinensis (Chinese medaka). RNAcentral's name for it is "lncRNA (ENSOSIG00000020134.1)". The record is from RNAcentral. Lineage: Eukaryota; Metazoa; Chordata; Actinopteri; Beloniformes; Adrianichthyidae.
UCCAGACUUAAGGCUUGCUUAUACGUAAACUGUAGAUUGGGGCCCAGUACUUACAUGGUCACAUUUGGGUUUUAGGACACACGGGAGUUGCAUGCAAAACAGAACCAGUACCGGCGAAACCACCUCACAAUGACUGAAAAGCAGCUGGAAGAAUACCAAUGCUUCUGUUCAGAAAAAACAACACAGAUAAAAGCCACUCAGAUUCGCCUCAACAGGCACAAGGAGUUGGCCCAUGAACGAUACAAGGCUCUGGAACAGAAACUGCAACAAAACCCAGUUCUCCGUCCUCACCUGAAAAAGUGAUGUCUGUUUGCAGGAGUCCCAUGACACUGAUACUUCAUCCAAACUUCCAAAAACUUCAAAUAAAAAUUAUCUUUGAUCUAAACAAGUAAUGAAAGAGUAAAAUGUAAGUUUUUGUUUGAUUGACCAAACUGACAUCGGCGGUGGUGAAGAGGUAAAGCGGUCGACCUCUGAUCAGAAGAUUGACCGUUCUGUUCCACCCGUGUUUCAAAGUGUCCUCGGUCAACACACAGAACUCCCCAUUGAUCAUAGGUUGGCACCAGUGUUUGGCAGCGGAGCCACCAUCAGUGUGUGAAUGUGUGUGCAUGAGUGAAUGGGACUGUCAUUGUGUUUUCAGAGGAAGGUAGAACAGUGCUGUAUCUGUAAAUGCAGAUUACUAUCUGUGUCAGGAAGAGAUUUAAGACAACAAAGUGACAUUUGAUUAUCUGGGGCGGCUGUGGUGCAGUGGUAGGGCGGUUGACCUCCGAUCUUAUUAUUGCCGGCUCAAUUCCCGACUUUCCUGCCAUGUGUUAAAGUGUCUUUGGGCAAGACACUGAACCCUACCUCGCCUCUGGUGGAAGGUUGGUGCCAGUGUUCAGCAGCGGAGCCGCCACCAGAAUGGGUCUGUGACUGUAAAGUGCUUUGGGCCUUCGAGGAAGGUAUAUAAGUUUACGUCAUUUAUCUAUUUGCAGCAGCUAGAACCACGUUUCUCAUCUGAGAUGCUUAAUGGCAUGAUGGCAAAUUUUCUCAAUAUAACCAAACUAAACAAAAUAACCAAUGUUGUAGUUUACAGAAAAAUGUGUUGACGGGUGUGAUGGAAAAAUGGAACAAGAACUUUUA